Erinaceus europaeus (western European hedgehog) is the source of this 133-nucleotide small nucleolar RNA. The record is from Ensembl. NCBI's taxonomy places the organism in Eukaryota, Metazoa, Chordata, Mammalia, Eulipotyphla, Erinaceidae.
GCCCUGUAAUUACUAAAUGUGUUUGUAGAAGUGCAGCUCUCCAGUGGAUAUAAAGGGCUAGAGCAAUUCUGUUCUUUAUGCAUGGGGACUGUUUCUCUUCAACAGCCUCCAUAGCCCAGUCACUGAUACAUGA